RNAcentral lists this ribosomal RNA (777 nucleotides) under uncultured Neocallimastigales. RNAcentral's name for it is "partial large subunit ribosomal RNA". It matches the Rfam family "Eukaryotic large subunit ribosomal RNA", at positions 24 to 643 of the family's 3401-position model. The record is from RNAcentral. Lineage: Eukaryota; Fungi; Neocallimastigomycota; Neocallimastigomycetes; Neocallimastigales.
UACGACUACAUAUCAGGCAUAUCAAUAAGCGGAGGAAAAGAAACUAACAAGGAUUCCCUAGUAACGGCGAGUGAAGCGGGAAGAGCUCAAAUUUGAAAUCUUCAAGGUUCUACCUUGACGAAUUGUAGUUUAAAGAAGUGUUUUCUGUUAGAGGAGUAGGUAAAAGUUCUUUGGAAUAGGACAUCAUAGAGGGUGAGAAUCCCGUAUUUGACUAUUCUUUCUAGCUUUGUGAUACACUUUCAAAGAGUCGGAUUGUUUGGGAAUAGCAGUCCAAAAUGGGUGGUAAAUUUCAUCUAAAGCUAAAUAUUGGCGAGAGACCGAUAGCGAACAAGUACCGUGAGGGAAAGAUGAAAAGAACUUUGAAAAGAGAGUUAAACAGUACGUGAAAUUGUCAAAAGGGAAGCGUUUGACACCAGUGUUGUUUUCUACGAAAAUCAAUUCAUGAUGGCUUGAUGCUAAGCUUGUAUGACUUUAUCCGCUUGUUGUUUAGUUUUCUUGUCUUUGUGAAUGCACUUUUCGUUUAACAAGUCAACAUCAAUUUCUUUUGCUGUAAAAGGGUAAGAGGAAGGUGGCUUAACGCUUCGGUUGAAGUGUUUAUAGCCUUUUAUCUCUGCAGUCGGAGAGAUUGAGGUCUGCAGCGUAGACUCUUCGGGGUUAGAUACGUCGGUGCUAAGCUAUAGCUUUUCAUAGACAACUUGUUGACUAUGUUUAGUCAUGUGGCUUACCCGCUGGCGCUAUUUUACCUACGCUUAGGAUGUUGACACACGCGCGUGCUCG